CAGGCACCGGCCAGUGUUGCACUGUCCAAGGGAUCAGACAGCAACAAGGAGUGGACAAGUGGCUGUAAAGGGUUAAGUUUACUACACUGUGAUCUCAGUCAAAGCUUUCCUUUGUGUGUCAGUGGUUAGGCAAAACCCUGGACUUUACUGGGCAGUGAGAUGGCUGUCACUCAUCCUCUCCUUUGCUGCAGGCAGGGCCAUCCUGGGGCUGUGAAGCUUGCCCAAAGCCAA
Molecule: non-coding RNA, 231 nt
Organism: Pogona vitticeps (central bearded dragon)
Lineage: Eukaryota; Metazoa; Chordata; Lepidosauria; Squamata; Agamidae
Source: RefSeq, a predicted model, not a curated record